AUAUCAGUAAGCGGAGGAAAAGAAACUAACAAGGAUUCCCCUAGUAACGGCGAGCGAAGCGGGAAGAGCUCAAAUUUAAAAUCUGGGAGGCUUGCCUCUCCGAAUUGUAGUUUAAAGAGGUGUUAUCUGGCCGUUGGCUAGUGCUCAAGUCCCUUGGAAUAGGGCGUCAGAGAGGGUGAGAACCCCGUCUGGGCAUUGGCUGACGGUCUCUAUGAGGCACUCUCUACGAGUCGGGUUGUUUGGGAAUGCAGCUCAAAAUGGGUGGUAAAUUUCAUCUAAGGCUAAAUACUGGCAAGAGACCGAUAGCGCACAAGUA
This 316-nucleotide ribosomal RNA is filed under the name uncultured eukaryote. RNAcentral describes it as "partial large subunit ribosomal RNA". It matches the Rfam family "Eukaryotic large subunit ribosomal RNA", at positions 40 to 350 of the family's 3401-position model. The record is from RNAcentral.